CCUACGGGAGGCAGCAGUGGGGAAUUUUGGACAAUGGGCGCAAGCCUGAUCCAGCCAUGCCGCGUGCGGGAAGAAGGCCUUCGGGUUGUAAACCGCUUUUGUCAGGGAAGAAAUCCUUUGGGUUAAAUACCUCGGAGGGAUGACGGUACCUGAAGAAUAAGCACCGGCUAACUACGUGCCAGCAGCCGCGGUAAUACGUAGGGUGCGAGCGUUAAUCGGAAUUACUGGGCGUAAAGCGUGCGCAGGCGGUUAUGCAAGACAGAUGUGAAAUCCCCGGGCUCAACCUGGGAACUGCAUUUGUGACUGCAUAGCUAGAGUACGGUAGAGGGGGAUGGAAUUCCGCGUGUAGCAGUGAAAUGCGUAGAUAUGCGGAGGAACACCGAUGGCGAAGGCAAUCCCCUGGACCUGUACUGACGCUCAUGCACGAAAGCGUAGGGGAGCGAAACAGGAUUAGAUGCCCUGGUAGUCCACGCCCUAAACGAUGUCAACUGGUUGUUGGACGGCUUGCUGUUCAGUAACGAAGCUAACGCGUGAAGUUNACCGCCUGGGGAUCGGCCGCAAGGUUGAAACGUUAAGNGAUUGACGGNUGAGACGAGCGACGCGACGACGAGGGAGGAGG
Molecule: ribosomal RNA, 619 nt
Filed under: uncultured bacterium
Lineage: Bacteria
Description: bacterial SSU rRNA
Rfam family: Bacterial small subunit ribosomal RNA
Source: RNAcentral